RNAcentral lists this ribosomal RNA (492 nucleotides) under uncultured bacterium. RNAcentral describes it as "partial 16S ribosomal RNA". It matches the Rfam family "Bacterial small subunit ribosomal RNA", at positions 29 to 507 of the family's 1533-position model. The record is from RNAcentral.
AGUGAACGCUGGCGGUAGGCCUAACACAUGCAAGUCGAACGGCAGCACAGUAAGAGCUUGCUCUUACGGGUGGCGAGUGGCGGACGGGUGAGGAAUACAUCGGAAUCUACUUUUUCGUGGGGGAUAACGUAGGGAAACUUACGCUAAUACCGCAUACGACCUACGGGUGAAAGCAGGGGAUCUUCGGACCUUGCGCGAUUGAAUGAGCCGAUGUCGGAUUAGCUAGUUGGCGGGGUAAAGGCCCACCAAGGCGACGAUCCGUAGCUGGUCUGAGAGGAUGAUCAGCCACGCUGGAACUGAGACACGGUCCAGACUCCUACGGGAGGCAGCAGUGGGGAAUAUUGGACAAAGGGCGCAAGCCUGAUCCAGCCAUACCGCGUGGGUGAAGAAGGCCUUCGGGUUGUAAAGCCCUUUUGUUGGGAAAGAAAAGCAGCAGGUUAAUACCCCGCUGUUCUGACGGUACCCAAAGAAUAAGCACCGGCUAACUUCGUG